AGGAAAACAUUUUAAGUCCAAACAAUUUUCAGAAAAAUAAUUUUGCGCCAUGGCUACAAACAGGAGCCUCCCUGGUAAUGCAUGCAGCCUGUUGAUUGUAUGGGUUGCCUUAAGGGACCUUGGAGACAUCC
Small nucleolar RNA from Zalophus californianus (California sea lion), 131 nucleotides. Its record names the gene SNORA70. It matches the Rfam family "Small nucleolar RNA SNORA70". From Rfam's summary of the family: snoRNA U70 seems to be exclusive to mammals and is a member of the H/ACA class of snoRNA which contain H (ANANNA) and ACA box motifs. H/ACA box snoRNAs are involved in the conversion of uridines to pseudouridines (5-ribosyluracil) a constituent of structural RNAs (transfer, ribosomal, small nuclear, and small nucleolar). The record is from Ensembl. NCBI's taxonomy places the organism in Eukaryota, Metazoa, Chordata, Mammalia, Carnivora, Otariidae.